AUUGAACGCUGGCGGCAGGCCUAACACAUGCAAGUCGAGCGGAUGAAGGGAGCUUGCUCCUGGAUUCAGCGGCGGACGGGUGAGUAAUGCCUAGGAAUCUGCCCGGUAGUGGGGGAUAACGUCCGGAAACGGGCGCUAAUACCGCAUACGUCCUGAGGGAGAAAGUGGGGGAUCUUCGGACCUCACGCUAUCAGAUGAGCCUAGGUCGGAUUAGCUAGUUGGUGGGGUAAAGGCCUACCAAGGCGACGAUCCGUAACUGGUCUGAGAGGAUGAUCAGUCACACUGGAACUGAGACACGGUCCAGACUCCUACGGGAGGCAGCAGUGGGGAAUAUUGGACAAUGGGCGAAAGCCUGAUCCAGCCAUGCCGCGUGUGUGAUGAAGGUCUUCGGAUUGUAAAGCACUUUAAGUUGGGAGGAAGAGCAGUAAGUUAAUACAUUGCUGUUUUGACGUUACCAACAGAAUAAGCACCGGCUAACUUCGUG
Molecule: ribosomal RNA, 484 nt
Filed under: uncultured bacterium
Lineage: Bacteria
Description: partial 16S ribosomal RNA
Rfam family: Bacterial small subunit ribosomal RNA
Source: RNAcentral